Molecule: small RNA, 675 nt
Filed under: Arabidopsis thaliana (thale cress)
Lineage: Eukaryota; Viridiplantae; Streptophyta; Magnoliopsida; Brassicales; Brassicaceae
Description: ATSL098050
Source: RNAcentral
AUAUGUAAAAAAAUUGAAAGCUAAUUUCAAAAUUGCAGAUUCUAAAAAGAAAAAAGGAAAUUUGUUCGUAAUAAUGCUUUCUCUAUUACAACUAACUAAAUUAUGUCGGAUCUCAAAUCCUAAUCAUCAAGAAUAUACACUAGUUACAAAUAAAAUGAAAACAACUUCGUACACUAAAUCCUAAUAGAUUAAGGACGAGGAGUAACUUCUCUAUAUAUAUAUACACAUAGUUUAACUUAUUCUACUAGAGAAAAAAAAAACAGAAGAGAGAGUUCAUAAACAAUGACGUUCGAAGAAGAGGUGUCUAAAGAAGAUAUUGAGUGUGUGGAAACAUUACUGAUCGAUCAAUCUUGAGCUGGCGGACGAUUUUCUUCGACGGAUGAGUGUUGGGUCGAUCGAUCUCCACCUGGGAUCGAUCGAUCCAGUGUUGCUAACCCCGGUUUCUCGAUUCCUGCUAUCGUUUCUGGUCCAAAUGAGCCCGAUAAGUCCCGAAAACAUCUGUGUCCCGCUUAAACACCUAAAACCUACAAAUGACUCAAGACACAACAGAAAAGACGCAAAAGACGGACUACGACACGACAAACGACUCAAAACACGGACUAAAUCAGGACUCGAAACCGUCAAAAACGCUAUACAUCAACUCCCCCCGACUUAGAUCUUUACUUGUCCUUAAGG